AGCCUUAGCACCGAAGGCACGCCUCCAGCCCGGCUCGCCCAAUCAUUUUCUCUUCCCCUCCACCCAGUUCUUGCAAUCCCCUGAUGCGCCGCUGCGCUCUCUCUUCGACGGCAUCACAUCGCCACCGCCACCAUCUUCAUCUCCAUGCCCCGUCCAUUGCAGCAGCCCACCCAAAGCAGGCCAAACAGUAGAAAAGGUAGGGCGAUUUGGUGGCGGCGGUAUCCACGGUGGCGACAACAUCAACCUCCCCGGCGGUCGUAACUAUGGAUAGUGGCGGCAUAAUUUGAAAACACCGGAGACCUGUACCACGACCCCUCCGGCAAUGAUCGUUGAUUUGUCAUGUCGAGAAAUUGUUUGGUGAAUUUUGAAAAUCCAAGCAGGCUGUAUGUGAAGUGUAUCAAGCUUAGGUACACUCCUUCAAAUGAAUUAAGUGAAAAAGGUUGUAGCGGUGUGUGAUCCAUCCCAAUAAAUAUUGAAGAGACGGGGCUCUUGGCAAAUGCAGUGCAAGACGCUGAUAACCAGCAUUUUGCCCUUGUCUCUGAGAGCUGUGUACCGCUGCAUAACUUCGAUUAUGUAUAUAGUAAUCGCAUGGGAACAAACAUCAGAUUUGUUGACUCGUAAGUGAAUGUCCUAAAGGUUAUGUCACAGAUGAUUCUGUAUAGAGGCAACGCCUUUUCUUCUAAAGUUGAACAAAUAUUUUAUUGACGGAUUUCUUGUUUCCCUCUUAUUCAUAAUUGUUACAAACAUCAUAUCCGCACCAUCGCUAUGCAAUUUUUCUUUCAGUUUCAGUGAUCCCGGUUCACAUGGAGCUGAUAGAUACUCUGACAAUAUGUUACAUGAUAUCGUGAAGAGAGAUUGGAGAAAAGGUGCGAGGUGAUAAUUUAUAUGCUUGAUCUCCCUAGAAAGUGCAAGCCUCGUUUCUUUUACCAAAUCCAAAUUAUUCAGUCCCAUUGGAUUACUGAAAACCUCAUAAAAAUGACAAGGAUAAUUCGAAAUUCUUCUUAAUUUUAUCAUAUGGUUUCCAAAUGGUGCAUCGCCUUUUUCUUUUCUUUACACUUUUCAGAUUGGUUUACAAAUUUAAUAAGCAUCUAUCGACUAAUUUUAAAAAUUCCAUGUUUUCCUAUAGCCCAACAUCCUCACUUUCUAAUGUGUUUUCCUCGCUCAGUGUCUUUCUUGCUGGCACUUUACCACGGAAAAUUCAAAUGCUACUGUAAGAAUAUCGAUGUAUGAGGUGGCGGUGGUUACAUUGACAAGUCAGCGAACAUCACUGCCAAACACCUUAUGCCACACUGCCCCGGCUCUGCGCUUCAUAGGUGAUAUGCGUGACAAGGACGCCCACCCUUUUUUUUUGAUUUGAUGCUUGUUUAGGUGAAUAUAGCUCUUCAUUGAUUUCAUCCCAAGGUUUUCUUAGUGGCGUCAAUGUUGUGUAAGAAUUUGGAGAAUGAUCACGAGUUUUGAAUUUUUUGGUUAGUGUUUGCGAAGCUCACCUCGAGAUAGCUGACCCACAUCAGGAUCUCACAUUUGUUAUACCUGUUCUGUGCAUCACCUAAUUGGCCUUUAAUGCAUCAAAGAGAAUACACUGAUUUUAAUUCAUGUUUCUGCUGCUUCAGUGAGAACUAUCAGAUUCAGUUCAUUUUCACACGCUCUUAGUUGUUGUCGUACUUCAGAGAUGAUAUUUCGGGCAACCAGGUGGAAACUGUCAUCUUUUACAUUCUUCGUUGGACAUGUUUUUGCUUAGUUGCUUCUAGAGCUGUCAUAUUUCUUUUGCCACACCAGAUAUAGACUACUUUUGUGGUUGCUACCCUUGUGAUUCCCCCCUCAAUAAAUUUCAGCAUUGUGGUUAGCUAUCUUGAAAGUUCUUUUUCGUUUCAGUGCAGCAUGAGCAUAGUGUGAGAUUACGUUUUUUGUUUGCUCAUCGACAUACAACUGAUUCGUUAUCAUUUAUCACCCAUGAGGCAUAUGAACCUGGUUCUUUUCAGGCACAACUUUCCUUCAUUUAUCAAAGCAUUUCAAAUACUAAACCUGAUCUUGUUUAUUAUAUGUUGAUGUGUUCAUUUUUUGAGUAGCCUACCAUUUUUGACAAGUUUGCUUUGUCCAAACUUCUGACAAAUGGUUGUUUCACACUGCCUUAGAACUGAAUUUCCUUCAUAGCUUUGGUUAACUUAUCUUUGGUGUUGCCUGCAUUUUUUUUUUUGAUAGAUAUGCAGAUGCUUUAUUGUUAGCUUGUUGCAUUUAGGUUCAGAGGAUCUGCUCUUUUUGGGGACUCCCAAUCUGCUUGCUAGGCUGUAACCCUGUUUAUCAUACUCACAUAAUGAUCACUCAUACAUUGAUUUCAGGACCACGGGUUUUUAUUAAACUGCAUCUUAUGUUCAUCCUUUGUUUCAUCUUCACAAGACAGUGGGAGUGCUUUUAUUUUAUUUCUUACGUUUUUCGUUGCUCUACCUUGGAACCUUAGAACAAAUAUACCUUGUGUAUGCAGAGUGCUAGCAUCAUCAGCUGUAGUUAUUUUUUCCUUUUUUACUUAUGAAAUGUUUUGAUCUAUCUUUCAUUAUGAACUUCACCUUGUUGUUUAGCUAAUAUUAUCGUGUCAACCAGAUAGCUCUAGGUAUCAACGUCUUCUUAGGAUUUAUGGUUGCGGCAGUAUGAUGUUGUGUUACAAGUUGCCGACAGGCACAACGAAUGCAUUGGCAGAAACGAAGCUGACAGUUUCAGGUCCUUCUUCACGAGAGUAGUACUGAUUUUGUCUUGCAAGAAGCUAUGUAUCCAAAUUUAUGAAUAGUUUUUCUUUUUUUUAUAUAU
Molecule: long non-coding RNA, 2799 nt
Organism: Lolium perenne
Lineage: Eukaryota; Viridiplantae; Streptophyta; Magnoliopsida; Poales; Poaceae
Source: RefSeq, a predicted model, not a curated record